Long non-coding RNA from Ictalurus punctatus (channel catfish), 657 nucleotides. RefSeq lists it as uncharacterized. The transcript is spliced from 2 exons. The record is from RefSeq and is a predicted model, not a curated record. NCBI's taxonomy places the organism in Eukaryota, Metazoa, Chordata, Actinopteri, Siluriformes, Ictaluridae.
CUCAAAUUUAGCCUAUUACCCAAAAACAUUUAAAACUCAACUUAGAAGCCAAUACUCACAUCUACCUCUGAGCCCAGUUGGAGAUAGAAAAAACACACCAGCCGUGAGUGAGAAGAAGCAAGGGUCCAGCUUUAUUGUUCCAUUCCACCACACGAGAUCCACACCGAUGAGAAUUCUCAGAAGUGAUCCCCCAUACCCUGAGCUUAAGCUCCAGUAUUUAUACUGUAUUUACACACUAGAUAACCCAUAGGUUUCCAGAAAAGGCCUAUUUCACUUACCCAUAGAAGACGAGAAUCUUCACCAUCUGAAUCAUGAGUGCCGGUGCCCGUCGUCAGUCCCCUCUCUCUCCGUUACUGGACCUGGAUCAGGGUUUGGACCUGGAUCUGGACACUCAUUACCAGCUUGUGCAUCUCACUGCUGAUAUCAUGAUGCUACUUAACUAUCUUCGCAGCACCCCCCCUAAGAAUGGAGAUCCGGGGUUCCCCUCUUCUUCGGUACAGAAUCUGCCCCACGAACGUGCGUGUUGACGCUUCUACACAGUCAGACCCAGAACCCCCCUCCAGCUUCCAAUCCGAGGAUGAUGAUGUUGUCUUCUCCGAUCCGGGCCCCGACCAUCCGUCCCUCUUCUCACCCACCAGUCCGCCCGACUCUCAGUGG